CCCUUAGAUGUCCUGGGCUGCACGCGCGCUACACUGAUGUGUUCAAUAAGCACCUAACCUACUCCGAAGGGACUGGGUAACCUUUGCAAAGCACAUCGUGAUGGGGAUAGAUUAUUGCAAUUAUUAGUCUUGAACGAGGAAUUCCUAGUAAGCGCAAGUCAUCAGCUUGUGUUGAUUACGUCCCUGCCCUUUGUACACACCGCCCGUCGCUCCUACCGAUUGAACGGUUUAGUGAGGGCCUCGGAUUGGUCUCGGCCCGCUCUUUACCGGGCGGCGCCGUUGGUCGAGAAGACGCUCGAACUUGAUCGUUUAGAGGAAGUAAAAGUCGUAACA
Molecule: ribosomal RNA, 333 nt
Filed under: uncultured eukaryote
Lineage: Eukaryota
Description: partial 18S ribosomal RNA
Rfam family: Eukaryotic small subunit ribosomal RNA
Source: RNAcentral